Molecule: ribosomal RNA, 464 nt
Filed under: Vreelandella stevensii
Lineage: Bacteria; Pseudomonadati; Pseudomonadota; Gammaproteobacteria; Oceanospirillales; Halomonadaceae
Description: partial 16S ribosomal RNA
Rfam family: Bacterial small subunit ribosomal RNA
Source: RNAcentral
CCUACGGGCGGCAGCAGUGGGGAAUAUUGGACAAUGGGGGGAACCCUGAUCCAGCCAUGCCGCGUGUGUGAAGAAGGCCCUCGGGUUGUAAAGCACUUUCAGUGAGGAAGAACGCCUGGUGGUUAAUACCCAUCAGGAAAGACAUCACUCACAGAAGAAGCACCGGCUAACUCCGUGCCAGCAGCCGCGGUAAUACGGAGGGUGCGAGCGUUAAUCGGAAUUACUGGGCGUAAAGCGCGCGUAGGUGGCUUGAUAAGCCGGUUGUGAAAGCCCCGGGCUCAACCUGGGAACGGCAUCCGGAACUGUCAAGCUAGAGUGCAGGAGAGGAAGGUAGAAUUCCCGGUGUAGCGGUGAAAUGCGUAGAGAUCGGGAGGAAUACCAGUGGCGAAGGCGGCCUUCUGGACUGACACUGACACUGAGGUGCGAAAGCGUGGGUAGCAAACAGGAUUAGAUACCCUGUAGUC